GAUGAACGCUGGCGGCGUGCCUAAUACAUGCAAGUCGAGCGAACAGAUAAGGAGCUUGCUCCUUUGACGUUAGCGGCGGACGGGUGAGUAACACGUGGGUAACCUACCUAUAAGACUGGAAUAACUCCGGGAAACCGGGGCUAAUGCCGGAUAACAUUUAGAACCGCAUGGUUCUAAAGUGAAAGAUGGUUUUGCUAUCACUUAUAGAUGGACCCGCGCCGUAUUAGCUAGUUGGUAAGGUAACGGCUUACCAAGGCAACGAUACGUAGCCGACCUGAGAGGGUGAUCGGCCACACUGGAACUGAGACACGGUCCAGACUCCUACGGGAGGAAGCAGUAGGGAAUCUUCCGCAAUGGGCGAAAGCCGGACGGAGCAACGACGCGUGAGUGAUGAAGGUCUUCGGAUCGUAAAACUCUGUUAUUAGGGAAGAACAAAUGUGUAAGUAACUGUGCACGUCUUGACGGUACCUAAUCAGAAAGCCACGGCUAACUACGUG
This 497-nucleotide ribosomal RNA is filed under the name uncultured bacterium. RNAcentral describes it as "partial 16S ribosomal RNA". It matches the Rfam family "Bacterial small subunit ribosomal RNA", at positions 28 to 507 of the family's 1533-position model. The record is from RNAcentral.